This 465-nucleotide ribosomal RNA is filed under the name Vreelandella stevensii. RNAcentral's name for it is "partial 16S ribosomal RNA". It matches the Rfam family "Bacterial small subunit ribosomal RNA", at positions 338 to 795 of the family's 1533-position model. The record is from RNAcentral. Lineage: Bacteria; Pseudomonadati; Pseudomonadota; Gammaproteobacteria; Oceanospirillales; Halomonadaceae.
CCUACAGGUGGCAGCAGUGGGGAAUAUUGGACAAUGGGGGCAACCCUGAUCCAGCCAUGCCGCGUGUGUGAAGAAGGCCCUCGGGUUGUAAAGCACUUUCAGUGAGGAAGAACGCCUGGUGGUUAAUACCCAUCAGGAAAGACAUCACUCACAGAAGAAGCACCGGCUAACUCCGUGCCAGCAGCCGCGGUAAUACGGAGGGUGCGAGCGUUAAUCGGAAUUACUGGGCGUAAAGCGCGCGUAGGUGGCUUGAUAAGCCGGUUGUGAAAGCCCCGGGCUCAACCUGGGAACGGCAUCCGGAACUGUCAAGCUAGAGUGCAGGAGAGGAAGGUAGAAUUCCCGGUGUAGCGGUGAAAUGCGUAGAGAUCGGGAGGAAUACCAGUGGCGAAGGCGGCCUUCUGGACUGACACUGACACUGAGGUGCGAAAGCGUGGGUAGCAAACAGGAUUAGAUACCCUUGUAGUC